UGGAGAAAAUGCUGCUUUCUGGCUUAAGGAACUGGAAUCCUUGGACUUUGCAAAAGCUGUCAUCUACCAUUUUCCUGGUGGCCUCCUGGCCCUGGGAUCUCUGGAGGGCGCCCCUCGCUGGGCUAGCCGUCACUGACCUCAAUGUCCAAACAUAGGUUAGAACACCUCUGUGAGUCCAUCCGGGCAGGGUGAGAAAGUUCCUGUUCCUACCGUGUCAAGAGUGAAGGUGACGGGGAGGAUGCUUCCUCCCCCUGCAUUUUGUCACGAGCUAGGUCAAAGAAAGAAAUUGCUUUUAUUCUAUUACCAGACAAAACCCGUAAAGAACAAAGGAGGACAUUCACUUAUGCUUUGUUUCAACUCUUCUCUUGAGAGGGGUCAAUUUCUACAUGCUGUGGAAUUAAAGACUAGGUUGGAGAUACCAUUCUGAAGGACCAGCCCCCUGUUCCAAACCACGGAAGCAUUUCGUUGCUCACGCAGACAAAUCUCUGACUGGCCCACGUAACUAGCCCUCCCAAUAUGCCUGGUCACAGCCCCACGGUUGUGGGGAGAUCUUGGCUGGAGACUAGGUCUCCUGAGACACAGAGACGAGGGAGGUUAUAUUGAAAGGGCUGCCCUGGCCUGGAGAGCCAAUGGGUUACUCACUGGGAAAUCGGCACGCUGAUAGAAAUUUAUAAAAGCUCCGUUCCCAAAGGAGCUCGGUUUGUGUUGACUGGUCACGUCCAUUUGAAAUGGCUUUGCCGUGAUCCCUGUUCUCCAGGAGGUGAGGCUAUCACUAGAGCCAGGCCGAGCUGUGAUUGAUGGUUCAUUCUUUCUGUUCUCGGUAAGACCCAGGCGGAGGGCUGAGGGUUGCCCUGGGGAGACACUGGGCGAGACUUCCACAUUUAUCUGCAUCAGGGCCGGCAGACACAGUAACUGCAUUUGCUCCAUUUCCUAUACAAUUUAUAGGACGAUCAUUAAGCAGCAGGAAAGGACAGAGGUCAGAAUAUGUGAGAACGUCAGUGAAAGUUCUCGGCUGGCCGGUGGGAUCAAAAGGAAUCAGAAAGGUCCGCCGCAAGGACUUACGCAACGGCGUGAAACAAGGCCGUAAACCCCUCCGUGAUUCGUCAGCCUUUGAGCCAAUAUUCUUCAGGAGAUUUUGUUACAAAACCGAGACCAUCAAGCCCGUCAAUAAAGACUGCCUAAUCACACUGUCGCCACGUGGUAUGUAUUAUACGUUUAAGUCUCAGCCUCACAGGAGUCCGCAUCGAAGAGGUUCCGUCCAGCACGAUCAAGAUGAAUGUCUGGCCCGUAUCAGACGCUGAUGCGUUUCCAGUGACGUUCCAGGAAGCUCUCCUCCGUGCUGACUUAGAGACCCUGCUUCCUUCCUUCCUUCUUGUGGCCCUACCAUCUCAACCCGUGACCCCCACGGUCAUGGCCGAAGGGGACAAGUUACUUGAGAAACAGCAGGUGCAGGAAGGACACUUUGCACCCCCUUUGGCCCCAGAUAAGACAACGAACCAUGUCACUUCUUCAGCAUUUACCGCCCAUAGCCCAAAGCCCUUUGUCUUAUCAAUUCUUCACAAAUUUACUUUUGGUUUUUGUUUAAAAACGGAUUUGUUUAAUGACAGAUGAGCAAACACAUGAGGGGCACCUGGGUGGCUCAGUCGGUUAAGCGUCCGACUUCCACUCGGGUCACGAUCUCACAGUCGGUGAGUUCGAGACCCGCGUCGGGCUCUGUGCCGACAGCUCGGAGCCUGGAGCCGGUUUCAGAUUCUGUGUCUCCCUCUCUCUCUGCCCCUCCCCCGCUCAUCCUCUCUUUUCUCCCUCUCUAAAAAAAUAAAUAAACAUUAAAAAUAAUUUUUAAAAAAACAACACAUGAAUGGAUGUGCUAAUUCAUUCCAUACCAUUCUGGCACAUUUGCUCAUACUCCCUGGCCCUGCCCUGACAGCUCAUCCCGGGAUAGGUCAAGUUGGGAAUUCUACUCCGGGAAUUCUACAUUAUGUUGGCUUGGAGGGGACAGAGCAGAAAGGCUAUGGACAGCAGGAGAGGAAUAGAAAGGUUUUAAAUGAGGAUGGCCAAAGGUUUCUGCCAGGAGAGAGGAAGAACAGGAAAGGGUCAGCACAGCUUUCAGAAUAAAUGAUCCCAGAUUUUAGCCAGCAAAACGUGGUUCGUGUUAUCCCCACAUCUCUGCCGAUGGCCUUCUCCACGUCACAGCCAUUUGGAGAUCAUUUGAAGCCCAUUCCGUAAUUGUUCUUGUGCUAAGCUUCCUUUAUGCAGAAAAACGAUAAUGCAGUUAGGAUGCUCUCAAAAGUCCUGGGGGAAAUUAAUUUGUUUACAGGAUUGUGUUUCAUCGUGUGGCGAAACCAACAAGGAACGACCGGCCCUGUCUGAAGGGCCGAGUGGAGCCACCAGGCAGGCGACGUUUGCAGGGUCCGUCUUCAACCACGGCCGCCCAGACACGUCAUUCUUUGGAGCGCUGGGUGUCGUCGUCAAAUCCUCCCACGGUGCUGUUCUCGGUCACACGCGCUCGGCUCUCCGUUCCGGAGUCUGUUAGCCUUCCCGGGCCCGAUGCGUGCCGCACGGACAGACACCCUUCGGCAAUCAGUCCCUGCCGUUUCCCUGUCCACGUCCUCGUGAAGCUUUUCUCUCUGCUUUGCAACCGCCCAGGUGGUUUCCUGACGCUGGGCGUUAUUCCUACUCCCUGCGCCUUGCUCUGGAAGGGAAUCGGGACAGCGUUCAAGCGGAUGGCACAGGGGGCACCGAGGUGAGAUACAAGCUCACGUCAGCGAGAGGCCUUGUAUCCUGUGAGAGCGCACCCAACAGGAAAAAUCUCCAAGGGACGGCACCUAAUGGCACCUCUGUCUCCUCGGUCACGUAGUCCGCAUUAUCACAGUUUCCAAAUUAGCAGUGUAGAAACGUAAUAAGACGCUAUCAUAAUCAGCGACGGUUUGUCUUCCUUUUUUAACCCCGGGAAAAGUACCGUUUAACGAAUUUCUUCUCUCCUGCAGUUGGGCUGGGCCCGCACGUUCAAUUCCACGGCACCGCCCGGUUCAACGAUCAGCCUGCUUCCCCGUGAGCUCUGGGAAGGAAUCCCUGGAUCUCUGGGCCUUGGCAGGCUUCUUCCCCCACCCACAGCCGACUGCGGUGAAUGCACACAGUUAGAUGCCGUACGGGCGAUCGGCCACUGCUCAAGCUUGUUGUGGCUCCUCAGGAAGAAGGAAGGCAUUUUUGAAGUUCUAUUUGUAUUUGCGGCAAUGUUACAGAGCACACAGAGCGUGUCUAUCGUGCAGUUAAGAAAUAGCCUUGCAAAAAAAAAGAAAAAGAAAUAGCCUUGCAGUAUACCUCCUUUGCAAAUUCUUUACACGAAUCAGGUCAGUUAUCAUGAAAUGAACAGUUCUGAAACCACUCUAAUCACACUUUGAUGCUGAAGUUACGAUAAGGUUAAUGAUCGCGGUACUAAGGGUCAUGACACUUGUUCGUACAGAAUCGCUAAGCUCGAACCAU
Molecule: long non-coding RNA, 3483 nt
Organism: Neofelis nebulosa (Clouded leopard)
Lineage: Eukaryota; Metazoa; Chordata; Mammalia; Carnivora; Felidae
Exons: 3
Source: RefSeq, a predicted model, not a curated record